This 80-nucleotide transfer RNA is filed under the name Oryctolagus cuniculus (rabbit). It matches the Rfam family "tRNA". Rfam says of the family: Transfer RNA (tRNA) molecules are approximately 80 nucleotides in length. Their secondary structure includes four short double-helical elements and three loops (D, anti-codon, and T loops). Further hydrogen bonds mediate the characteristic L-shaped molecular structure. tRNAs have two regions of fundamental functional importance: the anti-codon, which is responsible for specific mRNA codon recognition, and the 3' end, to which the tRNAs corresponding amino acid is attached (by aminoacyl-tRNA synthetases). tRNAs cope with the degeneracy of the genetic code in two manners: having more than one tRNA (with a specific anti-codon) for a particular amino acid; and 'wobble' base-pairing, i.e. permitting non-standard base-pairing at the 3rd anti-codon position. The record is from Rfam by way of RNAcentral. Lineage: Eukaryota; Metazoa; Chordata; Mammalia; Lagomorpha; Leporidae.
GGUGCUGUGGCACAGUGGGUUAAUGCUCUGGCCUGAAGCGCCAGCAUCCCAAGGCGCCGGUUCUAGUCCUGACUGCUCCU